This 188-nucleotide small nuclear RNA is filed under the name Myotis brandtii (Brandt's bat). RNAcentral describes it as "U2 spliceosomal RNA". It matches the Rfam family "U2 spliceosomal RNA". From Rfam's summary of the family: U2 is a small nuclear RNA (snRNA) component of the spliceosome (involved in pre-mRNA splicing). Complementary binding between U2 snRNA (in an area lying towards the 5' end but 3' to hairpin I) and the branchpoint sequence (BPS) of the intron results the bulging out of an unpaired adenosine, on the BPS, which initiates a nucleophilic attack at the intronic 5' splice site, thus starting the first of two transesterification reactions that mediate splicing. Lineage: Eukaryota; Metazoa; Chordata; Mammalia; Chiroptera; Vespertilionidae. The record is from Rfam by way of RNAcentral.
AUCGCUUCUCGGCCUUUUGGCUAAGAUCAAGUGUAGUAUCUGUUCUUAUCAGUUUAUAAAAGUUAACCCACUAUUUGGUCAAGCAUUAACUAACUCAUCCCUAAUGCCUUGUCAGGGCCAGACCAAAUGAUUUCAUGGGCCUUAUGUGGCCCAAGGGCCAGAUGUUCCCCAUCCUUGUUUUAUUUAUU